This 253-nucleotide ribosomal RNA is filed under the name uncultured bacterium. RNAcentral's name for it is "partial 16S ribosomal RNA". It matches the Rfam family "Bacterial small subunit ribosomal RNA", at positions 524 to 776 of the family's 1533-position model. The record is from RNAcentral.
UACAGAGGCCUCGAGCGUUAGGCGGAAUCACUGGGCUUAAAGCGUGUGUAGGCGGAUGCCUAAGUACCUUGUGAAAUCCCACGGCUCACCCGUGGAACGGCUGGGUAUACUGGGUGUUUUGAGCCACUUAGGGGCUGCCGGAACAAAUGGUGGAGCGGUGAAAUGCGUAGAUAUCGGAAGGAACGCCGGUGGCGAAAGCGGUCUGCUGGACCUCUACUGACGCUGAGGCGCGAAAGUGUGGGGAGCGAACAGG